CGCUGACGAUGCUGAUGACCACGCCGCUCACCUCCCGGUUGCGCGCGGGCGAUGAAACCCUCGAGCACCGCGUGAUCCGCGCCUGGUCGGCCGGGCUGAUGUGGGUGUUCGGCUUCCGCCUGCGCCGCGUCGGCACGCCGCUGCCGGGCGCGACCAUGUUUGUCGCCAACCACGUCAGCUGGAUCGAUAUCGAGACGUUGCACAGCCAGCGCAUGAUGGGCUUCGUCGCCAAGCGCGAAAUCCAGAGCUGGCCGGUGGUCGGCUGGCUCGCGCAGCGCGCCGAAACCAUUUUCCACGCCCGCGGCAGCACCGAAUCGCUGGGCGGCGUGCUGCACGAAAUGCUGUCGCGUCUGCGCAACGGCCGCAGCGUCGGGGUGUUUCCGGAAGGCGGUGCCCGCGGCGGCGGCGAGAUCGGCCCGUUCCACGCGCGCAUCUUUCUGGCGGCGGUCGAGGCCGGCGUGCCGGUGCAGCCGGUGGCGCUGCUUUACGGCGAAGGCGGCAGUGCCCAGCACGUAGUGGCGUUCCAGCCGCGCGAAAGCUUCUUCGCCAACUUCGUGCGCCUGCUCGGCGAGCCCGCACGCAUUGCCGAAGUGCAUUUCCUCGAGCCGAUCGCGCCGGGCGAGGCGGAUGGCCGGCGACGCAUCGCGGAACUGGCGCGCAGCCGCAUCAUCGGGGCGAUACGGCGCUGAAGGACGCUUCGACGCGGUAAU
RNAcentral lists this unclassified non-coding RNA (710 nucleotides) under uncultured fungus. RNAcentral describes it as "sequence contains 18S rRNA gene, ITS1, 5.8S rRNA gene, ITS2, 28S rRNA gene". Lineage: Eukaryota; Fungi. The record is from RNAcentral.